CCGGGCUCCCCAGGGCCCUGAAUUUGCUGGAGCCUGGGCACAAUAUAACUCACCGCCUCUGGCAAGGUUCAUCUAGUCUAACCCGUGCCAAGAUGCAGGACUUUGUGUGUCUAACUCACCCAGCUUCUCUCUUCCAGCUGGGAUCCCUUGACUGCAGCAGAUCUCCAGAUAUCCUCGCUCUCCUCUUUCCCUUACAUCCUUCUCUUCUCUGCCCAGUGGUUUGCUGCAUCUCUGAUCCUCUCUCUAUAUGCCCUGCCCCAGCAGCUAGUUACCCAGGCUACACUCCCAUUGCCAUCCGUGGGGGCAGCCUGGGCUGCGAGGGCUGCAGGUUUUGGUCCCUGGUCAAUGCAGGUACUAUGGCUGCUGCACACCUACCUGAUGACUCCUGCAGCCCAUCGCCAAACUGCGGGGCCAUGUUCUGCAGGGUCGCCUCCCUGGCUGAGGUUCUGGGAGCAGAGAGCCCCAGGGUCAGAGCAGGAAAAUGGCCCCAACAGAACACUCUGUCAAUGGCUCCCAGAGAUGUCCCCAUGAUACCCGACUGUGCAGCCUGGGAGUUCUCCCCCAGGAGUUAUCCUGCUUCUUCAUUGUCACCGCAGGCAAGAGUCUGGAAGUGGGAAUGGAGAGGGAGUGUUUGCAGGCAGAGCCUUCCAUGGCUUCCUGAAUGGGAGCCAAGCAGGGCUUGUGCCCAGGGUGGUGAAGGGCCUAGAUUCAGUCCUCACCCAUGCCCAUGGUGUCUCUGUGUGGCCAGGGGUUCCCUUACCCAUCACUGCAGGCUGUUCAGGAAGUGGAGGAGAACCUGGCCAUGGAGGAGGCAGCGUCUCUGGGUCUGAGCAGCACCGGAGCUGGGGGAGCCGGGCGGGAGCUUCAGUACGGGAGGUUUCACAUGCAGUCCAUGGAGCUGGAGAGGACAGAGCUGGGCCCAGAGUCCUGUUACAGCUCCUCAGUUAGUUCCUGUAAGACCCAAAGGAGAAUUUCAGAGUCAGGCCACACUGACCCCUGGGCACUUCCCAGAGAGGCUUCCCAGAC
This 1026-nucleotide long non-coding RNA is filed under the name Gopherus agassizii (Agassiz's desert tortoise). RNAcentral's name for it is "lncRNA (ENSGAGG00000019347.1)". Lineage: Eukaryota; Metazoa; Chordata; Testudines; Testudinidae. The record is from RNAcentral.